CCCACCUCAGUAGGGAUCGAGGGUUGCAACUCGCCCUCGUGAACGCGGAAUCCCUAGUAACCGCCCGUUACCACCGGGCGGUGAAUACGUCCCCGCUCCUUGCACACACUGCCCGUCGCUGCACCCGAGCUGGAACUGGGCGAGGGCCCGUCUUGUUGGCGGGUUCGAGCCCGGUUCUGGUGAGGGGGCAGAAGUCGUAACAAGGUGGCCGCACGGGAACGUGUGGCCGGAUCACCUCCU
RNAcentral lists this ribosomal RNA (240 nucleotides) under Candidatus Caldarchaeum subterraneum. Its description in RNAcentral is "Candidatus Caldiarchaeum subterraneum (hot springs metagenome) partial 16S ribosomal RNA". It matches the Rfam family "Archaeal small subunit ribosomal RNA", at positions 1238 to 1478 of the family's 1478-position model. Lineage: Archaea; Thermoproteati; Nitrososphaerota; Candidatus Caldarchaeales; Candidatus Caldarchaeaceae. The record is from RNAcentral.